This 221-nucleotide ribosomal RNA is filed under the name uncultured bacterium. RNAcentral's name for it is "partial 16S ribosomal RNA". It matches the Rfam family "Bacterial small subunit ribosomal RNA", at positions 129 to 334 of the family's 1533-position model. RNAcentral also lists the same sequence under 1 other name. The record is from RNAcentral.
CCCUUCAGAGGGGGACAACAGUUGGAAACGACUGCUAAUACCGCAUACGAUCUAAUCUCGGCAUCGAGGAUGGAUGAAAGGUGGCCUCUAUUUAUAAGCUAUCACUGAAGGAGGGGAUUGCGUCUGAUUAGCUAGUUGGAGGGGUAACGGCCCACCAAGGCGAUGAUCAGUAGCCGGUCUGAGAGGAUGAACGGCCACAUUGGGACUGAGACACGGCCCAG